UUUUAGAGGUGGAACCGCGAUGCGAGACAGAUCGUCGAAAUGAAGAAUUUCGAGGAGUGUCGAAGCCGAGGAAUUUUAAAUCGAUCGAUCCAUCAGGAUGUUGAAUAACUCGUUGGAUUUGAGAUUUUUCGGGAUAUGAACGAAUAGGCUGUGUAAUAGCAUCAAAGUGCCAUUCAUUAUUAUGGAUGACUUCUUCCCAAAUCAAGGGUUUUGGGACAAAGACAUUGGAUCUGUCUUUAUUGGCCUCCAUAAGAGUGGUGACACCCCUAGGGCUAGUGAAUCGAGCCUGGGGUGCUAAAGUUGUACCCAUCAGUCGAUAGUAUACUCU
Molecule: long non-coding RNA, 328 nt
Filed under: Capsicum annuum
Lineage: Eukaryota; Viridiplantae; Streptophyta; Magnoliopsida; Solanales; Solanaceae
Description: long non-coding RNA (CANN_LNC014350)
Source: RNAcentral